AUGGAUGCCUGGUUGUGUGCGACGGAUGCAGUUCUCACGCGCAAGCUAGGGUUGGAGCCGCCAGCUCUUCAUCCUGCCCGCCGGCGGCGAGUCUUCCCGUCCCGUACUGCCGCCUCCCCGUUAUCACAGGAAGGUUAUCCUUUCUUCAAGGACUGGAAGUUUCCUGGUAAGUGUUCCUUUUUCUUAAAAACUCUGUGUUUGUUUGCUGUAAUAUUUUGUUUACAUCAGGUUUCUCUUUCCUUUUGUGGGCAUAAUGGGCGAGACAAUAAUAUUCAGAAAGUUGUUGUUUUAGGGAAACUGCUAACUCCAUAUGUCAGACCCAUAUCAUUGUUGAGCAUGCAUAGUGUUCCUAUGUCAUUUCUAUGAUGUAUUUGUUUCCUUUUAUAUCACAGUAGUCUUCAUUUUGGCCAUGUACCUUCAAACUGAACCAAAAAUAGUUUGUCUGAUGACAUGUUUGAGGAGAUUCUUGAUAUGAAACAGUAGAUAUGAGGGUGACCGUUUUUUUUGCAAGUUUUGUCCGUGGAAUCUUUUUGCAGUUGAUAAGACAUGGGCUGGACUUACUUCCGAUCUGCAAUAUUUUCGGUAAAGUGAUUCAAGGAAACAAACAUCCACUGUGUCAAUCACUCAAGAUGGUGCAUGCAGUUUUCCUGAAAGUUAAGUCUGAGAGCCUGCUCCUACAUAAAGCUGGGUGACGGGACGACGGCCAAUUUCUGGGAGGACAAAUGGUUGCCGGGUGGGCGUUCCGUCUAAGACCUGGCGCCAACACUGCUCACUUUUGUGCCCAAGAGCACAACUAGUCAUCUAUGGUUUGGAUGGGGCUGGGUUCCUACAACGACGGCAACAGAGGCGACAAACACCACUUUGCAACCUCGCCGAACUGUGUUGCUGAACUGAAGUUUAGGGACAGCAGCAGUUUUACCACCGAUGGUGUUGCAUGUAAGCUGGAUGUUCUCAUUGUUCUGUUGGCUCUGAUCGGGAUGUGAGGUACAACUAUCAAAGUGACAUUAAUUUUGGUUCUGAUUCCUAUCCGCAGCCUCUUCUACACUAGAGAAGGAAAACACUCGACGAUCUGGCUCUGUCUCAGGUAUAUGCUCCCUCGCCCGCAAGAUCCGCUCUCUCCCAUCUACGCAUCGCAACAGCACUUCAGCUCCUCUUGUGGAUUCUCACCAGAUCAGGCCACCUCACUCACCUUCAGUCUGUCGUGAUGGACAAAGUUAAGAUCCCAACAAAAAGUGCUUCUUGAUGCUAUGAUGCAGCAACUUAACCUUCCAAAUUACAGUUUACUAAACAGACCUCGCCGGCAGAUCCCUCAGCUAUCAGGGAAGGCAGCCAUCAGCGGAGAUUGAGGGCGCCUCUCCGGCGAGAGUGCUCAUGUCGUGGUGGUUUUCCACCAGCAGCGUGGGGGAGGCGGUGUCCUCUGCAGCUAGGUCUACUUACUGGCGACCUCACCAUCACCAGCCCACCUGCAGGUAUGCUAGCUCCUCUUCUAUUAAUGGAAAAAGGAGAUGCUCAAAUGGAUUGGGUGGUACCUUCCUGAAAGUAUUGUAGGGAUGGACAUAUGGAUUGAUUGGUAGGCCCCUGAAAGCUACACAGAUCUGAACCGAUAACUUCAAUAAGAAUGUGUAUCCCAGCUCCUUUUAUAAUCUUGAAUCCUUCUUGGUCCUACUAAACUGUAACUCAUGUUUCGUAUUGGAAACAAUAUUUUGGACAUUCCUAACCUGGCCAAGGGAAUGUAUUGCCCACCUACAGUGAGAGAUACAUACGAAAUAGGUCCUACUAAACACCUAAAAGGAUGAGUCAUACUGUACUAACAUUUUUGCUAUCUUUAUGCUCCAUAUGGAUGGGAACUAAAAGGAUGAUGAUAUUAUUCUACCUUUCAAUAUUUGGCGGCGCAUGUUUAAGAAAAUCAUAGUGACUAAUAAGCAUGUCAUUUUCUAGAAGGGGCUUGACUGGAAUGUAUUUAUAUAGUUAAUAAAAUCAUAGUGACUAAUUCUUCAGUUCCUCUAUUUAGAUUAGAGGUGUAUGCAUGCAUAUUAGCCAAGUGAUCAGUCUUUCCAGGUCAAAAGAGAAAGUGACCAAUAUUUUGGCAUAUUUUCCUAUUAAGAAUAAAUGGAUAUGCCCAUGCACGUAUGCACAC
This 2137-nucleotide ribosomal RNA is filed under the name Triticum aestivum (bread wheat). RNAcentral describes it as "partial small subunit ribosomal RNA". Lineage: Eukaryota; Viridiplantae; Streptophyta; Magnoliopsida; Poales; Poaceae. The record is from RNAcentral.